This 468-nucleotide ribosomal RNA is filed under the name uncultured bacterium. RNAcentral describes it as "partial 16S ribosomal RNA". It matches the Rfam family "Bacterial small subunit ribosomal RNA", at positions 28 to 507 of the family's 1533-position model. The record is from RNAcentral.
GACGAACGCUGGCGGCGUGCUUAACACAUGCAAGUCGAACGGAAAGGCCCUGCUUUUGUGGGGUGCUCGAGUGGCGAACGGGUGAGUAACACGUGAGUAACCUGCCCUUGACUUUGGGAUAACUUCAGGAAACUGGGGCUAAUACCGGAUAGGAGCUCCUGCUGCAUGGGGGGGGUUGGAAAGUUUCGGCGGUUGGGGAUGGACUCGCGGCUUAUCAGCUUGUUGGUGGGGUAGUGGCUUACCAAGGCUUUGACGGGUAGCCGGCCUGAGAGGGUGACCGGCCACAUUGGGACUGAGAUACGGCCCAGACUCCUACGGGAGGCAGCAGUGGGGAAUAUUGCACAGUGAGCGGAAGCCUGAUGCAGCAACGCCGCGUGCGGGAUGCCGGCCUUCGGGUUGUAAACCGCUUUCGCCUGUGACGAAGCGUGAGUGACGGUAAUAGGUAAAGAAGCACCGGCUAACUACGUG